RNAcentral lists this unclassified non-coding RNA (253 nucleotides) under uncultured Caryophanales bacterium. RNAcentral's name for it is "uncultured Bacillales bacterium contains 16S-23S intergenic spacer region". It matches the Rfam family "Bacterial small subunit ribosomal RNA", at positions 524 to 776 of the family's 1533-position model. Lineage: Bacteria; Bacillati; Bacillota; Bacilli; Caryophanales. The record is from RNAcentral.
UACGUAGGGGGCAAGCGUUGUCCGGAAUUAUUGGGCGUAAAGCGCGCGCAGGCGGUUUCUUAAGUCUGAUGUGAAAUCUCGUGGCUCAACCACGAGCGGCCAUUGGAAACUGAGGAACUUGAGUACAGAAGAGGAGAGCGGAAUUCCACGUGUAGCGGUAAAAUGCGUAGAGAUGUGGAGGAACACCAGUGGCGAAGGCGACUCUCUGGUCUGUAACUGACGCUGAGGAGCGAAAGCGUGGGUAGCAAACAGG